GACAGAGGGUGCAAACGUUGUUCGGAAUUACUGGGCGUAAAGCGUGUGUAGGCGGCCAUGUAAGUCAGGCGUGAAAGCCCCGGGCUCAACCCGGGAAGUGCACUUGAUACUGCGUGGCUUGAGUACUGGAGAGGUUGGUGGAAUUCUCGGUGUAGAGGUGAAAUUCGUAGAUAUCGAGAGGAACACCGGUGGCGAAGGCGGCCAACUGGACAGAUACUGACGCUGAGACACGAAAGCGUGGGGAGCAAACAGG
This 253-nucleotide ribosomal RNA is filed under the name uncultured bacterium. RNAcentral describes it as "partial 16S ribosomal RNA". It matches the Rfam family "Bacterial small subunit ribosomal RNA", at positions 524 to 776 of the family's 1533-position model. The record is from RNAcentral.